This 27-nucleotide non-coding RNA is filed under the name Homo sapiens (human). The record is from RNAcentral. Lineage: Eukaryota; Metazoa; Chordata; Mammalia; Primates; Hominidae.
UCAGGACGAUGGGUCUGUGACGAUCAC